AAUGAACGCUGGCGGCACGCCUAACACAUGCAAGUCGAACGAUAAGCUAACUUCGGUUAGUGGACAGUGGCGGACGGGUGAGUAACACGUGGGAACAUACCUUUUGGUACGGAACAACCAUUGGAAACGAUGGCUAAUACCGUAUAAGCCCUCCGGGGGAAAGAUUUAUCGCCGAAAGAUUGGCCCGCGCUAGAUUAGUUAGUUGGUGAGGUAAAAGCUCACCAAGGCGACGAUCUAUAGCUGGUUUGAGAGGAUGAUCAGCCACACUGGGACUGAGACACGGCCCAG
RNAcentral lists this ribosomal RNA (288 nucleotides) under uncultured bacterium. RNAcentral's name for it is "partial 16S ribosomal RNA". It matches the Rfam family "Bacterial small subunit ribosomal RNA", at positions 29 to 334 of the family's 1533-position model. The record is from RNAcentral.